RNAcentral lists this ribosomal RNA (443 nucleotides) under uncultured bacterium. RNAcentral's name for it is "partial 16S ribosomal RNA". It matches the Rfam family "Bacterial small subunit ribosomal RNA", at positions 338 to 795 of the family's 1533-position model. The record is from RNAcentral.
CCUACGGGCGGCAGCAGUGGGGAAUAUUUGGCAAUGGGCGCAAGCCUGACCCAGCAACGCCGCGUGAAGGAAGAAGGCUUUCGGGUUGUUAACUUCUUUUUUCAGGGACGAAGCAAGUGACGGUACCUGAGGAUUAAGCCUCGGCUAACGAUGUGCAAGCAGCCGCGGUAAUACGUUGGUGGCAAGCGUUAUCCGGAUUUGCUGGGUGUAAAGGGCGUGUAGGCGGGAACGUAAGUCAGAUGUGAAAACCAUGGGCUCAACCUGUAGUCUGCAUUUGAAACUGUUUUUCUUGAGUACAGGAGAGGCAGACGGAAUUCCAAGUGGAGCGGUGAAAUGCGUAGAUAUAAGGAGGAACACCAGUGGCGAAGGCGGUCUGCUAGACAGCAACUGACGCUGAGGCGCGAAAGCGUGGGGAGCAAACAGGAUUAGAUACCCGAGUAGUC